This 520-nucleotide ribosomal RNA is filed under the name uncultured Glomus. RNAcentral's name for it is "SSU rRNA". It matches the Rfam family "Eukaryotic small subunit ribosomal RNA", at positions 569 to 1092 of the family's 1831-position model. The record is from RNAcentral. Lineage: Eukaryota; Fungi; Glomeromycota; Glomeromycetes; Glomerales; Glomeraceae.
AGCAGCCGCGGUAAUUCCAGCUCCAAUAGCGUAUAUUAAAGUUGUUGCAGUUAAAAAGCUCGUAGUUGAAUUUCGGGACCAUCAUGUCGGUCGUGCCUCGGUACGUACUGGCAUUGUUGGUUUCUCCCUUCUGACGAACCAUGAUGUCAUUUAUUUGGUGUUGUGGGGAAUCAGGACUGUUACUUUGAAAAAAUUAGAGUGUUUAAAGCAGGCUCACGCUUGAAUACAUUAGCAUGGAAUAAUGAAAUAGGACGUUUGAUUCUAUUUUGUUGGUUUCUAGGGUCGACGUAAUGAUUAAUAGGGAUAGUUGGGGGCAUUAGUAUUCAAUUGUCAGAGGUGAAAUUCUUGGAUUUAUUGAAGACUAACUACUGCGAAAGCAUUUGCCAAGGAUGUUUUCAUUAAUCAAGAACGAAAGUUAGGGGAUCGAAGACGACCAGAUACCGUCGUAGUCUUAACCAUAAACUAUGCCGACUAGGGAUCGGAUGAUGUUAAUUUUUAAUGACUCAUUCGGCGCCUUAAC